RNAcentral lists this ribosomal RNA (468 nucleotides) under uncultured bacterium. RNAcentral describes it as "partial 16S ribosomal RNA". It matches the Rfam family "Bacterial small subunit ribosomal RNA", at positions 28 to 507 of the family's 1533-position model. The record is from RNAcentral.
GACGAACGCUGGCGGCGUGCUUAACACAUGCCAGUCGAACGGAAAGGCCCUGCUUUUGUGGGGUGCUCGAGUGGCGAACGGGUGAGUAACACGUGAGUAACCUGCCCUUGACUUUGGGAUAACUUCAGGAAACUGGGGCUAAUACCGGAUAGCAGCUCCUGCUGCAUGGUGGGGGUUGGAAAGUUUCGGCGGUUGGGGAUGGACUCGCGGCUUAUCAGCUUGUUGGUGGGGUAGUGGCUUACCAAGGCUUUGACGGGUAGCCGGCCUGAGAGGGUGACCGGCCACAUUGGGACUGAGAUACGGCCCAGACUCCUACGGGAGGCAGCAGUGGGGAAUAUUGCACAAUGGGCGGAAGCCUGAUGCAGCAACGCCGCGUGCGGGAUGACGGCCUUCGGGUUGUAAACCGCUUUCGCCUGUGACGAAGCGUGAGUGACGGUAAUGGGUAAAGAAGCACCGGCUAACUACGUG